GCAGUACUGGUCCGGCUGGACCUUUCCUUCUGGGGAACCUCAUGGCCUUCACUGGCUGUGGGGGGAACCAGGACUUUUACUGUGAAAAAAUUAGAGUGUUCAAAGCAGGCCUUUGCUCGAAUACAUUAGCAUGGAAUAAUAGAAUAGGACGUGCGGUUCUAUUUUGUUGGUUUCUAGGACCGCCGUAAUGAUUAAUAGGGAUAGUCGGGGGCGUCAGUAUUCAGCUGUCAGAGGUGAAAUUCUUGGAUUUGCUGAAGACUAACUACUGCGAAAGCAUUCGCCAAGGAUGUUUUCAUUAAUCAGGGAACGAAAGUUAGGGGAUCGAAGACGAUCAGAUACCGUCGUAGUCUUAACCAUAAACUAUGCCGACUAGGGAUCGGGCGGUGUUUCUAUGAUGACCCGCUCGGCACCUUACGAGAAAUCAAAGUUUUUGGGUUCUGGGCGGAGUAUGGUCGCAAGGCUGAAACUUAAAGAAAUUGACGGAAGGGCACCACAAGGCGUGGAGCCUGCGGCUUAAUUUGACUCAAACACGGGGAAACUCACCCAGGUCCAGACAAAAUAAGGAUUGACAGAUUGAAAAGCUCCUUUCUUGAUCCUUUUGGGAUGGGUGGUGCCUGGCCCGUCCCUCGUUGGGGGAGUGAUUUUGUCUGCCUUAAUUGCGAUAACGAACGAGACCUUCCGCCCCUUAAAAUAGCCCCGGGCCCGCCUUUGGCGGGGCCCCCCUGGGCUUCUUUAGGGGGGACUAUCCGGCCUCAAGCCG
Molecule: ribosomal RNA, 760 nt
Filed under: Aspergillus flavus
Lineage: Eukaryota; Fungi; Ascomycota; Eurotiomycetes; Eurotiales; Aspergillaceae
Description: SSU rRNA
Rfam family: Eukaryotic small subunit ribosomal RNA
Source: RNAcentral